GCUUAAGUAGACUAAAAUAUUGUUUAAAUAGACUUAAAUAGUUUAAAUCUUUCUUUGACUCAGAUCAAUAACUGGCACGUCUAUUCUCUCACCUCACUUUCUUUGUUUCUUUCUAGAGAACUUAAUCGGCCAUUGAAGGGCAACAUAAGGUCAUUCCUCUACAAAAGGAUGACAUCAUUUGCUGCCAAGCAAGCAAACAGUGAGAUGCAGUCGGUUGAUCCUUGCUCCAUUCCAUUGUCAAAGGAACUUUGGUUUACAUGGCCAACUUCAAAGUCAUCAUCAUCAUCAUCACCAUCAUCAUCAUCAUCAUCAUCAACAGCAGCAGCAGCAGCAGCAGCAGCAUACACCUAUACCAUACUUCUGUUAUGGAAACAAGUACUUACAACAAUGGAUCAUCUUCCUCCAUGCAUGAGGAAUCUGAUGAUUCACUUUUGACCUCCUCCAAAACUUGUCAAUCUGUUUCUCCACAUGCCAUCAUACUGAAUUGGGCUACUUCUACCAGA
RNAcentral lists this long non-coding RNA (503 nucleotides) under Fukomys damarensis (Damara mole-rat). RNAcentral's name for it is "lncRNA (ENSFDAG00000030913.1)". The record is from RNAcentral. Lineage: Eukaryota; Metazoa; Chordata; Mammalia; Rodentia; Bathyergidae.